This is a small nuclear RNA of Ictidomys tridecemlineatus (thirteen-lined ground squirrel), 107 nucleotides long. NCBI's taxonomy places the organism in Eukaryota, Metazoa, Chordata, Mammalia, Rodentia, Sciuridae. The record is from Ensembl.
GUGCUUGCUUCAGCAGCACAUAUACUAAAAUUGGUAUGAAACAGAGAAGAUAAGCUCAGCCUCUGCAGAAGGAUGACAUGCAAAUUUGUGAAGCAGUCAAUAUUUUG